AUUGAACGCUGGCGGCAGGCCUAACACAUGCAAGUCGAGCGGAGCGGCGGUCUGGUGAGUAUUGCCUAGGAAUCUGACUGGUAGUGGUGGAUAACGUUCGGAACCGGGCGCUAAUACCGCAUCCUAUCACAUUAGCCUGGGUCGGAUUAGCGAGUUGGUGGGGUAAAGGCAUACCAAGGCGACGAUCCGUAACUGGUCUGAGAGGAUGAUCAGCCACACUGGAACUGAGACACGGUCCAGACUCCUACGGGAGGCAGCAGUGGGGAAUAUUGCACAAUGGGCGAAAGCCUGAUGCAGCCAUGCCGCGUGUAUGAAGAAGGCCUUCGGGUUGUAAAGUACUUUCAGUUGGGAGGCGUUACCCGCAGAAGAAGCACCGGCUAACUUCGUGCCAGCAGCCGCGGUAAUUC
This 407-nucleotide ribosomal RNA is filed under the name uncultured bacterium. RNAcentral's name for it is "partial 16S ribosomal RNA". It matches the Rfam family "Bacterial small subunit ribosomal RNA", at positions 30 to 526 of the family's 1533-position model. The record is from RNAcentral.